CCUACGGGUGGCUGCAGUGGGGAAUAUUGGACAAUGGGCGCAAGCCUGAUCCAGCCAUGCCGCGUGAGUGAUGAAGGCCCUAGGGUUGUAAAGCUCUUUCGCCAGGGACGAUAAUGACGGUACCUGGAUAAGAAGCCCCGGCUAACUUCGUGCCAGCAGCCGCGGUAAUACGAAGGGGGCUAGCGUUGUUCGGAAUCACUGGGCGUAAAGCGCACGUAGGCGGAUUUUUAAGUCAGGGGUGAAAUCCCGAGGCUCAACCUCGGAACUGCCUUUGAUACUGGAAGUCUCGAGUCCGGGAGAGGUGAGUGGAACUGCGAGUGUAGAGGUGAAAUUCGUAGAUAUUCGCAAGAACACCAGUGGCGAAGGCGGCUCACUGGCCCGGUACUGACGCUGAGGUGCGAAAGCGUGGGGAGCAAACAGGAUUAGAUACCCGAGUAGUC
RNAcentral lists this ribosomal RNA (440 nucleotides) under uncultured bacterium. RNAcentral describes it as "partial 16S ribosomal RNA". It matches the Rfam family "Bacterial small subunit ribosomal RNA", at positions 338 to 795 of the family's 1533-position model. The record is from RNAcentral.